UGGGGAAUAUUGGACAAUGGGUGCAAGCCUGAUCCAGCCAUGCCGCGUGAGUGACGAAGGUCUUCGGAUUGUAAAGCUCUUUUGGCGGGGACGAUAAUGACGGUACCCGCAGAAUAAGCCCCGGCUAACUUCGUGCCAGCAGCCGCGGUAAUACGAAGGAGGCUAGCGUUGUUCGGAAUCACUGGGCGUAAAGCGCACGUAGGCGGAUUUGUUAGUCAGGGGUGAAAUCCCGGGGCUCAACCUCGGAACUGCCUCUGAUACUGCAAAUCUCGAGUCCGAUAGAGGUGAGUGGAAUUCCUAGUGUAGAGGUGAAAUUCGUAGAUAUUAGGAAGAACACCAGUGGCGAAGGCGGCUCACUGGAUCGGUACUGACGCUGAGGCACGAAAGCGUGGGUAGCAAACAGGAUUAGAUACCCAUGUAGUCCCUGAGCGGGCUGGCAAGGCGCAU
Molecule: ribosomal RNA, 447 nt
Filed under: uncultured bacterium
Lineage: Bacteria
Description: bacterial SSU rRNA
Rfam family: Bacterial small subunit ribosomal RNA
Source: RNAcentral